CCAGCUGUGGCCUAAACAACUGAUACAAAGCUGACAGUUCAAAAAGACUUUACCAAAGGUUGAUGGGUUACAAAAGAGAAAUAAAAAGAUAUAGCAUAAUUUGAGUACUCCUAAUCAGAUAGAAGUGAUCUCUGGAGUUCACAGGCCCCAUCCUUCCCUACAUGGAAUUCCGCAGAAAUGGAAAGGCCUCUCCUGGGUCCUUUCUUCUGAUUUCUAGCCUGCCCCCAAAGAGGGCAGAAAUUAGCUUAAUAUACACCAUUUGGGAGCCCCUGACACCUAAGCCGAUGAGAGCACCUCAAUUCCCCAUCCUGCCACAGAUCUGGAUUCUUACGUGAUGGCAUUUUCCCUUCAGGACUGAUUCUGGGGGCGAUCUUGCCAGGGCAGUCCUUGCCUCAGCCUACUAAAGCAGGGGCCACCAAAUGCACAGGACAAAAGACUGUGUUGGAAAAUAUCAAGAAUAGAGAAAGAACAAGAAGAUUUACUUGAUGUUGAGAAGUGGCUGGAAGGAUUCAGGAACUUGAGAGAAGAAUUUGAAAAAUAUGACCCAGAAAAAACAGCAUGACCUUCAGUCUUAAUACCUGACCUGGUUUUGAAUCAUAAGGAACAAACUCUGGAGAUUUCCAGCCCGAAGUGAUGUCAAGCUUGACGGUGUGUUCCAACCCUGAGGGAUUAUUUUUUCUGCUCUCCAACAGACAGAGACAGGAAAGGAAAUUCCAAACCUCACCUGAGACUGGGCCCUGUGCUAUAUCAUGCUUAUCCCUUGGUUGAUGUGAAAGAAUGACUAAAACCUGCUCUGGGAGGGACCUUUGCUUGAUGUUUUCAGUUUUGUUUAUGACUGGAAGGUAGGAGCUCUUCUCUAAGUGUGAGGUUACAGUACAUUCUGGCAAUCUUUCUAACAGAAACACAUCAUUUUCCCUGUUAGGAUUUGAGGGAGAAGAGCCUCCCCAGUGCUUUCCUGUGAUUCUUCCACAGAGUCCUCUAAAACAUGGUGAAAAUGACUUCAGGAAUUUUUGUUAAAUGGGAGACUGCUUCAUAGUUUGAACUACUUUAUGACUUUGUGAGUUUGUAUUACUGAUUUGAUACUUAGUGGA
This is a long non-coding RNA of Hippopotamus amphibius kiboko, 1091 nucleotides long. RefSeq lists it as uncharacterized. The transcript is spliced from 3 exons. The record is from RefSeq and is a predicted model, not a curated record. NCBI's taxonomy places the organism in Eukaryota, Metazoa, Chordata, Mammalia, Artiodactyla, Hippopotamidae.